RNAcentral lists this small RNA (448 nucleotides) under Pan troglodytes (chimpanzee). RNAcentral describes it as "retained intron". The record is from RNAcentral. Lineage: Eukaryota; Metazoa; Chordata; Mammalia; Primates; Hominidae.
ACAGAUGAGGGAGUUGGGGUGGGAAUGAGAGCAAGAACAUGGGGGCCAGCUGGGGACAGUUGAGAACAAUGAUGCAACUUUCUUCUCUCUUCCUUUGUGGUAGCAGACCUUUUAUGCUUUCUUGAAAGAACUUAUUUUAUCUUUUCAUUACUUAGGAAAUAACACUAUAUCCAGACAAGCAUGGGUGUGUCCGGGACCUGUUAGAAGAAUGUAAAAAGGCCGUGGAGCUUGGGGAGAAAGCAUCAGGGAAACUUAGGCUGCUAGAAAUUGUAAGCUACAAAAUCAUUGGUGUUCAUCAAGAAGAUGAACUAUUAGAAUGUUUAUCUCCUGCAACGAGCCGGACGUUUCGAAUAGAGGAAAUCCCUUUGGACCAGGUGGACAUAGACAAAGAGAAUGAGAUGCUUGUCACAGUGGCGCAUUUCCACAAAGAGGUCUUCGGAACGUUCGG